This 229-nucleotide non-coding RNA is filed under the name Anaerococcus lactolyticus. RNAcentral describes it as "T-box sequence". It matches the Rfam family "T-box leader". From Rfam's summary of the family: Uncharged tRNA acts as the effector for transcription antitermination of genes in the T-box leader family. T-boxes are found upstream of many aminoacyl-tRNA synthetase genes and some amino acid biosynthetic genes usually in Gram-positive bacteria. The record is from RNAcentral. Lineage: Bacteria; Bacillati; Bacillota; Tissierellia; Tissierellales; Peptoniphilaceae.
CGAAAGACGAAGAAGAGACGAGUAACUAAAGAAAUAGAUUUAAGAGAGUCCCUGUUGGUGCGAUGGGAUAUCGAAAGCUUUGGCGAAUAAAGACUCGGAGUCUUCUCGGGGAUAUUUGAUCCGGGAACGAGUUUUGCACGUUAUAGCAAAGGAGUAUGAUUGUACUUUCAGAGGUGUAUUUUGUGAAAAAUACAUGAAUUAAGGUGGUAACGCGAUUUUCGCCCUUAUU